CGUGGAUAACCUGCUUCACACUGGGGGAUAACAGUUAGAAAUGACUGCUAAUACCGCAUAAGCGCACAGUGCCGCAUGGCAGUGUGUGAAAAACUCCGGUGGUGUGAGAUGGAUCCGCGUCUGAUUAGCCAGUUGGCGGGGUAACGGCCCACCAAAGCGACGAUCAGUAGCCGACCUGAGAGGGUGACCGGCCACAUUGGGACUGAGACACGGCCCAAACUCCUACGGGAGGCAGCAGUGGGGAAUAUUGCACAAUGGGCGAAAGCCUGAUGCAGCGACGCCGCGUGAGUGAAGAAGUAUUUCGGUAUGUAAAGCUCUAUCAGCAGGGAAGAAAAUGACGGUACCUGACUAAGAAGCCCCGGCUAACUACGUGCCAGCAGCCGCGGUAAUACGUAGGGGGCAAGCGUUAUCCGGAUUUACUGGGUGUAAAGGGAGCGUAGACGGCGAAGCAAGUCUGAAGUGAAAACCCAGGGCUCAACCCUGGGACUGCUUUGGAAACUGUUUUGCUAGAGUGUCGGAGAGGUAAGUGGAAUUCCUAGUGUAGCGGUGAAAUGCGUAGAUAUUAGGAGGAACACCAGUGGCGAAGGCGGCUUA
This 594-nucleotide ribosomal RNA is filed under the name uncultured Lachnospiraceae bacterium. Its description in RNAcentral is "bacterial SSU rRNA". It matches the Rfam family "Bacterial small subunit ribosomal RNA", at positions 116 to 728 of the family's 1533-position model. The record is from RNAcentral. Lineage: Bacteria; Bacillati; Bacillota; Clostridia; Lachnospirales; Lachnospiraceae.